RNAcentral lists this ribosomal RNA (327 nucleotides) under uncultured bacterium. Its description in RNAcentral is "bacterial SSU rRNA". It matches the Rfam family "Bacterial small subunit ribosomal RNA", at positions 8 to 334 of the family's 1533-position model. The record is from RNAcentral.
AGGGUUUGAUUAUGGCUCAGGAUGAACGCUGGCGGCGUGCUUAACACAUGCAAGUCGAACGGGAUCCCAGGAGCUUGCUCCUGGGUGAGAGUGGCGAACGGGUGAGUAAUGCGUGACCGACCUGCCCCAUACACCGGAAUAGCUCCUGGAAACGGGUGGUAAUGCCGGAUGCUCCAGUUGGAUGCAUGUCCUUCUGGGAAAGAUUCAUCGGUAUGGGAUGGGGUCGCGUCCUAUCAGCUUGAUGGCGGGGUAACGGCCCACCAUGGCUUCGACGGGUAGCCGGCCUGAGAGGGCGACCGGCCACAUUGGGACUGAGAUACGGCCCAG